Molecule: unclassified non-coding RNA, 155 nt
Filed under: soil metagenome
Description: partial internal transcribed spacer 1
Source: RNAcentral
CAGAGUUAUCCAACUCCCAAACCCAUGUGAACUUAUCUCUUUGUUGCCUCGGCGCAAGCUACCCGGGACCCUCGCGCCCCGGGCGGCCCGCCGGCGGACAAACCAAAACUCUUGUUAUCUUAGUUGAUUAUCUGAGUGUCUUAUUUAAUAAGUCA